UGAGUUUUCUAAGAGUGUCUCAUAUCUAAAACUCCUUCUCCUACUUUUCAUCUUUAGAAGAGUCCAAAUCAAGAAGAACGAGAUAUCUGAUCGACCAUCGAAGAAGGAUCAGCACAGUACUAGCAUACUGUGCUGAUUACCUGGGCUAGGACUUCUGAUCGUGAUUCAUGGGCUUGUGUGGAUGACUCCUAGAAGUUGGAUGCAUGUGUGGCUCAC
This 216-nucleotide long non-coding RNA is filed under the name Elaeis guineensis (African oil palm). Its description in RNAcentral is "long non-coding RNA (EGUI_LNC048253)". Lineage: Eukaryota; Viridiplantae; Streptophyta; Magnoliopsida; Arecales; Arecaceae. The record is from RNAcentral.